This 332-nucleotide long non-coding RNA is filed under the name Pan troglodytes (chimpanzee). RNAcentral describes it as "long non-coding RNA NONPTRT001520". The record is from RNAcentral. Lineage: Eukaryota; Metazoa; Chordata; Mammalia; Primates; Hominidae.
GGGCCAUACCUGAUAGUCAUAUGGUCCAAGCUGGUUGCAAGAGAAAGAUCAACCAUGGGAUUUAGGGCAGGGGCUUUGGGGUCACACAGUACCAGUCCACCUGAAGACUGAGUUAGACCACAUGGGAAAUCAAUCAAUCAAUCAUGCCAGUGUAAUGAAACCACAGUAACAACUCUGGAUACAAGGCUCAGGUGAGCAUCCUGGGUUGGCAGUGCUCCACAUGUACCAUCACACACGGAUGCCGGGAAGGGACUUUUAAAUAAUUCUCAGGAAGAAAGAAACUGCAGAGCCCAAGUGGAAUUCUGGAUAUAAUGAAAUCCUGCCCCAGCCUG